This 633-nucleotide long non-coding RNA is filed under the name Ananas comosus (pineapple). Its description in RNAcentral is "long non-coding RNA (ACOM_LNC039248)". The record is from RNAcentral. Lineage: Eukaryota; Viridiplantae; Streptophyta; Magnoliopsida; Poales; Bromeliaceae.
AGAGAAAUAAGUGUUUCGGUGCAAAUUGGGCGCAAAACAAAAUGUAAAGAGGAUUCUCGGAUUUCUGACGCUAACUUUGAUUAAAAGAAUUAAAGUGAGGCGUGAGGAUACAUUGUGGUAUCUCCGAAUCAAUUGUGAAGUUUUGGUAAAGCCAAGGGUGUGUUUUCACAGGGUUUUGAAGAGCUCAGUGCGAAGUGGUAGUGCAAAAAGGCCAUGUAAUGGAAUUGGAGCCGAUUCUAUUUCUAAUUUGGCUCAAAUAAUGUCAAAAUGAAAAGGAAUUGCUUCCAAAUUAAAUUGGUAGCUUGGGAAGGUCCCUUGGUGUAUUUUGGAAGUGUUUGGGUGAAAUCGGAGCGAAAACGGAAAAUAUAGAAUUUUCUGUAAGGAACGGGACUGAGAAAAUUAGCAGAAAAUGCACAGUGUCAGAAAUUAUGAAAAUUGGCAGAGAUGUCAGGAACAUUAUUAUGAGGCUAGAUUUGAAGUUUCAGAUUUUUCUGACACCUGUAGAGAGAGAAAUAGCAUCUGGAAGUUGUCGGAUAAAGAUUACAGUUCGGGACAGUUCGCAGUGACCAAACGGGGUCGAAACUGAAAUGUUAAAAUUUCAGUGGACUUGUUAAGUAAAAACGAACAUUCUUG